RNAcentral lists this ribosomal RNA (396 nucleotides) under uncultured bacterium. RNAcentral describes it as "partial 16S ribosomal RNA". It matches the Rfam family "Bacterial small subunit ribosomal RNA", at positions 523 to 918 of the family's 1533-position model. The record is from RNAcentral.
AUACGUAGGUGGCAAGCGUUGUCCGGAAUUAUUGGGCGUAAAGCGCAUGUAGGCGGUUUGGUAAGUCGGUCGUGAAAAUGCGGUGCUUAACGCCGUAUGGCGAUUGAAACUGCUGAACUUGAGUGCAGGAGAGGAAAGGGGAACUCCCAGUGUAGCGGUGAAAUGCGUAGAUAUUGGGAAGAACACCGGUGGCGAAGGCGCCUUUCUGGACUGUGUCUGACGCUCAGAUGCGAAGGCCAGGGUAACGAACGGGAUUAGAUACCCCGGUAGUCCUGGCCGUAAACGAUGGGUACUAGGUGUGGGAGGUAUCGACUCCUUCCGUGCCGGAGUUAACGCAAUAAGUACCCCGCCUGGGGAGUACGGCCGCAAGGCUUAAACUCAAAUGAAUUGACGGGG